Molecule: ribosomal RNA, 781 nt
Filed under: Bacillus subtilis
Lineage: Bacteria; Bacillati; Bacillota; Bacilli; Caryophanales; Bacillaceae
Description: bacterial SSU rRNA
Rfam family: Bacterial small subunit ribosomal RNA
Source: RNAcentral
GUCGAGCGGACAGAUGGGAGCUUGCUCCCUGAUGUUAGCGGCGGACGGGUGAGUAACACGUGGGUAACCUGCCUGUAAGACUGGGAUAACUCCGGGAAACCGGGGCUAAUACCGGAUGGUUGUUUGAACCGCAUGGUUCAAACAUAAAAGGUGGCUUCGGCUACCACUUACAGAUGGACCCGCGGCGCAUUAGCUAGUUGGUGAGGUAACGGCUCACCAAGGCAACGAUGCGUAGCCGACCUGAGAGGGUGAUCGGCCACACUGGGACUGAGACACGGCCCAGACUCCUACGGGAGGCAGCAGUAGGGAAUCUUCCGCAAUGGACGAAAGUCUGACGGAGCAACGCCGCGUGAGUGAUGAAGGUUUUCGGAUCGUAAAGCUCUGUUGUUAGGGAAGAACAAGUACCGUUCGAAUAGGGCGGUACCUUGACGGUACCUAACCAGAAAGCCACGGCUAACUACGUGCCAGCAGCCGCGGUAAUACGUAGGUGGCAAGCGUUGUCCGGAAUUAUUGGGCGUAAAGGGCUCGCAGGCGGUUUCUUAAGUCUGAUGUGAAAGCCCCCGGCUCAACCGGGGAGGGUCAUUGGAAACUGGGGAACUUGAGUGCAGAAGAGGAGAGUGGAAUUCCACGUGUAGCGGUGAAAUGCGUAGAGAUGUGGAGGAACACCAGUGGCGAAGGCGACUCUCUGGUCUGUAACUGACGCUGAGGAGCGAAAGCGUGGGGAGCGAACAGGAUUAGAUACCCUGGGUAGUCCACGCCGUAAACGAUGAGUGCUAAGUGU